Molecule: ribosomal RNA, 279 nt
Filed under: Faecalibacterium prausnitzii
Lineage: Bacteria; Bacillati; Bacillota; Clostridia; Eubacteriales; Oscillospiraceae
Description: partial 16S ribosomal RNA
Rfam family: Bacterial small subunit ribosomal RNA
Source: RNAcentral
UAUGGUUGUGCCAGCAGCCGCGGUAAAACGUAGGUCACAAGCGUUGUCCGGAAUUACUGGGUGUAAAGGGAGCGCAGGCGGGAAGACAAGUUGGAAGUGAAAUCCAUGGGCUCAACCCAUGAACUGCUUUCAAAACUGUUUUUCUUGAGUAGUGCAGAGGUAGGCGGAAUUCCCGGUGUAGCGGUGGAAUGCGUAGAUAUCGGGAGGAACACCAGUGGCGAAGGCGGCCUACUGGGCACCAACUGACGCUGAGGCUCGAAAGUGUGGGUAGCAAACAGG